UCAGCAACAACGUGAGCUCCAGGAAGUGGUGACGCUCUCCGGUGGUGCGUUUCCAAGGCAGCGGCGACAAACCGGAGGAAGCAACGCCCCAACGUGGACACCAGAGGACAGAAGGUGAACAGAAACUCUACUUCCUGGCAGGGGGCCAGAAUCCCCGUUAGGGGGCUGACGUGGAAAACAUCAUCUGUGGCCAGGUGGAACUGGAUAUGGGAGGGCUCUGGGGUUUCCCCUGGAAGCAGAGGGCGCAGGUUGGGCUUCAAGAUCUGCCAGUGGAAAGAGUGAGGGUUACAUGGGCUGAAACGGACAAAAUGCUCUGCGGUGAGGUCGUGCGCCUCUCCCACCACGGGGGGCUCCUUCGUCCCAGAUACAGACACAAGCUCGAGUGCAA
This is a long non-coding RNA of Larimichthys crocea (large yellow croaker), 388 nucleotides long. RefSeq lists it as uncharacterized. The transcript is spliced from 3 exons. NCBI's taxonomy places the organism in Eukaryota, Metazoa, Chordata, Actinopteri, Sciaenidae. The record is from RefSeq and is a predicted model, not a curated record.